RNAcentral lists this ribosomal RNA (2862 nucleotides) under Escherichia coli. RNAcentral describes it as "partial 23S ribosomal RNA". It matches the Rfam family "Bacterial large subunit ribosomal RNA". The record is from RNAcentral. Lineage: Bacteria; Pseudomonadati; Pseudomonadota; Gammaproteobacteria; Enterobacterales; Enterobacteriaceae.
AAGCGACUAAGCGUACACGGUGGAUGCCCUGGCAGUCAGAGGCGAUGAAGGACGUGCUAAUCUGCGAUAAGCGUCGGUAAGGUGAUAUGAACCGUUAUAACCGGCGAUUUCCGAAUGGGGAAACCCAGUGUGUUUCGACACACUAUCAUUAACUGAAUCCAUAGGUUAAUGAGGCGAACCGGGGGAACUGAAACAUCUAAGUACCCCGAGGAAAAGAAAUCAACCGAGAUUCCCCCAGUAGCGGCGAGCGAACGGGGAGCAGCCCAGAGCCUGAAUCAGUGUGUGUGUUAGUGGAAGCGUCUGGAAAGGCGCGCGAUACAGGGUGACAGCCCCGUACACAAAAAUGCACAUGCUGUGAGCUCGAUGAGUAGGGCGGGACACGUGGUAUCCUGUCUGAAUAUGGGGGGACCAUCCUCCAAGGCUAAAUACUCCUGACUGACCGAUAGUGAACCAGUACCGUGAGGGAAAGGCGAAAAGAACCCCGGCGAGGGGAGUGAAAAAGAACCUGAAACCGUGUACGUACAAGCAGUGGGAGCACGCUUAGGCGUGUGACUGCGUACCUUUUGUAUAAUGGGUCAGCGACUUAUAUUCUGUAGCAAGGUUAACCGAAUAGGGGAGCCGAAGGGAAACCGAGUCUUAACUGGGCGUUAAGUUGCAGGGUAUAGACCCGAAACCCGGUGAUCUAGCCAUGGGCAGGUUGAAGGUUGGGUAACACUAACUGGAGGACCGAACCGACUAAUGUUGAAAAAUUAGCGGAUGACUUGUGGCUGGGGGUGAAAGGCCAAUCAAACCGGGAGAUAGCUGGUUCUCCCCGAAAGCUAUUUAGGUAGCGCCUCGUGAAUUCAUCUCCGGGGGUAGAGCACUGUUUCGGCAAGGGGGUCAUCCCGACUUACCAACCCGAUGCAAACUGCGAAUACCGGAGAAUGUUAUCACGGGAGACACACGGCGGGUGCUAACGUCCGUCGUGAAGAGGGAAACAACCCAGACCGCCAGCUAAGGUCCCAAAGUCAUGGUUAAGUGGGAAACGAUGUGGGAAGGCCCAGACAGCCAGGAUGUUGGCUUAGAAGCAGCCAUCAUUUAAAGAAAGCGUAAUAGCUCACUGGUCGAGUCGGCCUGCGCGGAAGAUGUAACGGGGCUAAACCAUGCACCGAAGCUGCGGCAGCGACACUAUGUGUUGUUGGGUAGGGGAGCGUUCUGUAAGCCUGUGAAGGUGUGCUGUGAGGCAUGCUGGAGGUAUCAGAAGUGCGAAUGCUGACAUAAGUAACGAUAAAGCGGGUGAAAAGCCCGCUCGCCGGAAGACCAAGGGUUCCUGUCCAACGUUAAUCGGGGCAGGGUGAGUCGACCCCUAAGGCGAGGCCGAAAGGCGUAGUCGAUGGGAAACAGGUUAAUAUUCCUGUACUUGGUGUUACUGCGAAGGGGGGACGGAGAAGGCUAUGUUGGCCGGGCGACGGUUGUCCCGGUUUAAGCGUGUAGGCUGGUUUUCCAGGCAAAUCCGGAAAAUCAAGGCUGAGGCGUGAUGACGAGGCACUACGGUGCUGAAGCAACAAAUGCCCUGCUUCCAGGAAAAGCCUCUAAGCAUCAGGUAACAUCAAAUCGUACCCCAAACCGACACAGGUGGUCAGGUAGAGAAUACCAAGGCGCUUGAGAGAACUCGGGUGAAGGAACUAGGCAAAAUGGUGCCGUAACUUCGGGAGAAGGCACGCUGAUAUGUAGGUGANNNNNNNNNNNNNNNNNNNNNNNNNNNNNNNNNNNNNNNNNNNNNNNNNNNNNNNNNNNNNNNNNNNNNNNNNNNNNNNNNNNNNNNNNNNNNNNNNNNNNNNNNNNNNNNNNGCGAAGCUCUUGAUCGAAGCCCCGGUAAACGGCGGCCGUAACUAUAACGGUCCUAAGGUAGCGAAAUUCCUUGUCGGGUAAGUUCCGACCUGCACGAAUGGCGUAAUGAUGGCCAGGCUGUCUCCACCCGAGACUCAGUGAAAUUGAACUCGCUGUGAAGAUGCAGUGUACCCGCGGCAAGACGGAAAGACCCCGUGAACCUUUACUAUAGCUUGACACUGAACAUUGAGCCUUGAUGUGUAGGAUAGGUGGGAGGCUUAGAAGUGUGGACGCCAGUCUGCAUGGAGCCGACCUUGAAAUACCACCCUUUAAUGUUUGAUGUUCUAACGUUGACCCGUAAUCCGGGUUGCGGACAGUGUCUGGUGGGUAGUUUGACUGGGGCGGUCUCCUCCUAAAGAGUAACGGAGGAGCACGAAGGUUGGCUAAUCCUGGUCGGACAUCAGGAGGUUAGUGCAAUGGCAUAAGCCAGCUUGACUGCGAGCGUGACGGCGCGAGCAGGUGCGAAAGCAGGUCAUAGUGAUCCGGUGGUUCUGAAUGGAAGGGCCAUCGCUCAACGGAUAAAAGGUACUCCGGGGAUAACAGGCUGAUACCGCCCAAGAGUUCAUAUCGACGGCGGUGUUUGGCACCUCGAUGUCGGCUCAUCACAUCCUGGGGCUGAAGUAGGUCCCAAGGGUAUGGCUGUUCGCCAUUUAAAGUGGUACGCGAGCUGGGUUUAGAACGUCGUGAGACAGUUCGGUCCCUAUCUGCCGUGGGCGCUGGAGAACUGAGGGGGGCUGCUCCUAGUACGAGAGGACCGGAGUGGACGCAUCACUGGUGUUCGGGUUGUCAUGCCAAUGGCACUGCCCGGUAGCUAAAUGCGGAAGAGAUAAGUGCUGAAAGCAUCUAAGCACGAAACUUGCCCCGAGAUGAGUUCUCCCUGACUCCUUGAGAGUCCUGAAGGAACGUUGAAGACGACGACGUUGAUAGGCCGGGUGUGUAAGCGCAGCGAUGCGUUGAGCUAACCGGUACUAAUGAACCGUGAGGCUUAACCUU